GUUUUGAUUUGUGGUUGCCCUGUUUUUCAAGUGUCUUGACCCCUUCCUAUAUCUGCUUUUUUUAACUGAUAGUCAUAUAGGCUCAAACACAUUUUAGAAAAUUGUCUAGAUUUACUUACUUUGGUUCCCAAAUUUUAGGAUUUUGAUGUCCUUUUUUUAACAUCUUCAUGUUUAUCCUUUUGCUGUUCCUGUGUUUGUUGUCACUUUUACAAUAGUUUUUUAAAUUUUCUUUUAGUUCUGUACAAUGGCUUAAGUGAUUACUUUCCAAUUGUGAUUUCCUUUAUCCUAUUUUUUCUUACUUUUUUUUAAUUUAGAGCAGCCCUUUUGGUAUUUCUUUUAGAAUGGGUUUAAUAUUGCUUGUACUCUUUCAAUUUUUGUUCGUUGGAGAAAUUCUUUUUUUCUCCUUUUACUUUAAAUGAUAUUUUUGCCAGGUAGAGUAUUAUAGGCUGCAAAUUUUUCCCUUUUAUUUUAUUUAUUUAUUUUGCUUUUUAGGGCUGCACCCACGGCAUGUGGACGUUCGCAGGGUAGGGAACCCUGGAAUCAGAGCUACAGCUGCUGGCCUUUGCCACAGCCACAGCAACACGGGAUGCAAGCUGCAUCUGCGACCUACACCACAGCUCACAGCAAUGCCAUAUCCUCAACCCACUGAACGAGGCCAAGGAUCGAACCCACAACCUCAUGGUUCCCAGUCAGGCUCAUUACCACUGCAUCACAAUGGCAACUCCCGAAUUUUUCCCUUUUAGAACAUCAAAUAUAUCUUGCCACUCUCUUCUGGCCUGUAGCAUUUCUGUAGAGAAAUCAGCUGAUAGCCUUAAGGGGGUUCCCUUAUAAUUAAGUCUUUGAUUUCCUCUUUCUGCCUUUAGAAGUCUCUCUUUAACUUGCUAUUUUUAUUACAUGUCAUGGUGUGGGCUUGUUAGGGUUCAAUUGGUCUAGGGCCCUCUGUGCUUCCUGUAUCUUGAUAUGUUUCCUUUAGAUUUGGAAAGUUUUCAGCCAUAAUUUCUUCAAAUCUAUUUUCAAUCACCUUUUCUUGCUCUUUUCCUUCUGGAAACCCUAUUAUGCAUAGAUUGGCCUGCUUUAUAUUAUCCCAUUUAUUAUAUUACAUUCAUGUUUUUUCAUUUGGUUUUCUGUCUGCUGUCGUGAUUGGUUGAUUUCCAUUAUUCUAUCUUCCAAGUCACUUAUUUGUUCCUCUGCAUUAUUCAUUCUGCUCUUUAACUCAAUUUGCAUCUCUGCAAAUAAAUUUUCUACUUUUUCUUGGUUCCUCCUUGUAUGUCCUAGUUCCUUUCUAAAGGAAUCCGCAUUACUGUUCAUAUCCUCUCUUAACUCCUUCAUAUUUGCCCUUAAUUCCUUCAGUAUUUUCACUCUCUCCCUUUUGAACUCAGUGUCUGUUAGCUGCAGAGGUCUGUUGCAUUGUUUGCUCCUUCAGGUGAAUUCUGCUGUUCUUUUAACUGGGAAUGGUUCCUGAGGUUCUUCAUUUUGCUUGUAUUUUUCUCAUUCUGUGAGUUUAGGGAAACCAUCUACUGUCAUCUUGGAGGUCUGUUUUUAUGCAAGAGCACGCUCUGGAUAUUUUGUGAGGGCUUCCAAUUUAUUUUUGGUGUGACGGCUGCUUUUGGUGUGAAUGUUGCUGUCUUUCCUCAGUGUGUGCAGGCUGUUAUCCCCUUGAUAGGGUGUUUGUUGCAUGUGCUUCCAGGGAGAUGGAGGCAAUGGACAGGGCUAGUAGCCAGCACUGGUUGCUGGGCCCUCAAAGGUAGCAAGGACCCACUGGAAGGUGGUGCCAGCUGCUCCUAGUUGCAGGGCCCUGGGAAGUGGCAGUGACAGGCAGGUUUAGGUGGCGACCAGAGCAUUUGGCAGUGGUAGCAGCAGGUGUCUGUUCACGGACUCCUGGGGCCACGCCCACCUCUGGAGUCAGAGAUAACUGUGGCGGUUUGCCCCUGCCACCUGUAGGCCAUGCAAGAUGUGCCCCAUCACUUAGCCCGCACAGGAGGCACCACCCCCUGUAGCCAGAACAGGAAGAGCCAUCGCCCCUAACCCUAAGAGGCACUUCGCCACCCACAGGCCCACCCUUGCUGCCUGUGCAGAGAUAGAUAUUCCUAUGGUGGCCCGCCCCACUUCCUCUUGGCCUCCCCAGCAAUGGUGCCUUGCUUCUCCUGUGGGCCCAGACCUCAUCCCAGCUUCCCUCAACUGUGGUGCACUGAUCCCCAGCCUUUGGCGCACCUCUCCCUAGCUCCCUCAGGCUGUCUCCACACUGUCAACCCUAGGCCUCUCCUGGAACUGACCUCUGGAGCCUGAGUCUCAGCGCCUAGGUCCUGCCUGCGUCUCAGGCUGCGGUGUCCAGGGCCGGUGGUACCAAUAGUCUUUGCAGCUUUCUCUCUGCUUUGCCCUCCUCAGACCAGCUGCUGUGCUUUUCCCUUCAUCUCAACUGAUCUUCGCAUCAGUUACGUGGCUUCCCAGAGAGUGGGUUCCUUUCCUCUGUCACAGCUCCCUCUUAGCAAUGCUGGUCCCUGAUUCCUUUCUCUUUUUAUCCCCUUUUGUUCUACCCAGUAAUGGGAGGGUAUCUUGCCCUUUUUGGAGGUUUAUGGUCUUCUGCCAGGGCUCACUAGAUGUUCUGUGUUAAUCAUUCUACAUUUAGAUGGUUGGAUUUUUUGUUUUUUAAUGUGUUUGUGGGAGAAGAUGGAGCCCCAUGUCUUCCUCCUCUGCCUUCUUGGUCCAGAUCCCUCACAACUGAUUUCUGAAUGUUAAUCUUGUAUCCUGCUACUUUACGGAAUUUCUUUAUGAGAUCUAGUAGUUCCGUGUGGAAUCCCUAAGGGUUUUCUAUAUAUAGUAUGUCAUCUGCAUAUAAUGAGUUGUACCUCUUCCUUUCCAAUUUGGGUACUUUUAUUUUUCCUGAUUGCUGUGGCCAAGGACUUCUGAUACUGUGUUGAACAAAAAUGAUGAGAGUGGGCAUCCUUGUCUUGUUCCAGAUUUUAGCAGGAAGGCUUUCAGCUUUUCUCCAUUGAGGAUUAUAUUGGCUGUGGGUUUGUCAUAAAUAGCUUUUAUGUUGAGAUAUGUUCCCUCUAUACACACUUCAGUAAGAGUUUUUAAUCAUAAAUGGAUGUUGAAUUUUGUCAAAUGCUUUUUCUGCAUCUAUUGAGAAGAUCAUAUGGUUUCUGACUUUUCUUUUGUUAACAUGGUGUAUUACACUGAUUUUGUGUGUGUUGACAUCCUUCUGAACUUAGGAUGAAUCCUACUUGGUUGUGGUGUAUAUUUUUAAUGUGUUGUGCGAUUCAGUUUGCUAGAAUGUUAAGACUUUUUUGCAUCUCUAUUCAUCAUACAUAUUGGCCUAUACUUUUCUUUUUUGAUGGUAUCUUUGAUUUUGGUAUUAGUAAUGGUGGCUUCAUAGAAUGUCUUUGGACAUGUUCCCUCCUUGUCACUCUUUUAAGAGUUUGAGAAGGAUGGGUAACAAGUUCUUUGUAUGUUUGUUAGAAUUCACCUCUCAAGUCAUCUGGUCCUGGGCUUUUGUUUGUAGGGAGUUUUAUUUAUUUAUUUAUUUUGAGUCUUUUUGUCUUUUUCUAGGGCUGCACCUGCAGCAUAUGGAGGUGCCCAGGCUAGGGGUUGAAUCGGAGCUGUAGCCGCCAGCCUAUUCCACAGCCACAGCAGCGUGGAUUCCGAGCCAUGUCUGUGACCUACACCACAGCCCAUGGCAAUGCCGGAUCCCCAACCCUCUGAGCAAGGCCAUUGAACUUGCAACCUCAUGGAUCCUAGUUGGAUUUCGUUAACCACUGAGACACAAUGGGAACUCCUCUUUAUAUUUUUAAAAAGACUGGAGUUCCCUUCGUGGCGCAGUGGUUAACGAAUCCGACUAGGAACCGUGAGGCUGCGGGUUCAGUCCCUGCCCUUGCUCAGUGGGUUAACGAUCCGGCGUUGCCAUGAGCUGUGACGUAGGUCGCAGAUGCGGCUCGGAUCCCGAGUUGCUGUGGCUCUGGCGUAGGCCAGUGGUUACAGCUCUGAUUGGACCCCUAACCUGGGAACCUCCAUAUGCCACGCGAGCGGCCCAAGAAAUAGCAAAAAGACAAAAAAAAAAAAAAAAAAAAAAAAAA
This 4073-nucleotide long non-coding RNA is filed under the name Sus scrofa (pig). RNAcentral describes it as "lncRNA (ENSSSCG00000063329.1)". Lineage: Eukaryota; Metazoa; Chordata; Mammalia; Artiodactyla; Suidae. The record is from RNAcentral.